RNAcentral lists this small nucleolar RNA (127 nucleotides) under Caenorhabditis brenneri. Lineage: Eukaryota; Metazoa; Nematoda; Chromadorea; Rhabditida; Rhabditidae. The record is from RNAcentral.
AAGCGAUGAAGAAAGCCAUCACACGAAACACUGUCGAUUAUAAAUCGGAACACAUAGGUCCUAGUUGUCGUUAAACUUGAACUGUCCCGAUUGCGUGGUCGAGUGCCUAAUCUUCUCUCUGAGCUUG